UGCCAGAGUAUAAGAGCCUUUGGUUCUGGG
Molecule: non-coding RNA, 30 nt
Filed under: Mus musculus (house mouse)
Lineage: Eukaryota; Metazoa; Chordata; Mammalia; Rodentia; Muridae
Source: RNAcentral